GGGGGGGAGCAAGCGUUGUCCGGAAUUACUGGGCGUAAAGGGCGUGUAGGCGGUAUUGUAAGUCAGAUGUAAAAGGGCUACGGGCUUAACCGUAGAUGGUCAUUUGAAACUGCAGUACUUGAGUGCGAGAGAGGGUAGUGGAAUUCCCAGUGUAGCGGUGAAAUGCGUAGAUAUUGGGAAGAACACCAGUAGCGAAGGCGGCUACCUGGCUCGUAACUGACGCUAAUGCGCGAAAGCGUGGGGAGCGAACAGGAUUAGAUACCCUGGUAGUCCACGCCGUAAACGAUGAACACUAGGUGUUGGUCCCGACGUGUCGGGAUCGGUGCCGCAGCAAACGCAUUAAGUGUUCCGCCUGGGGAGUACGAUCGCAAGGUUG
This 376-nucleotide ribosomal RNA is filed under the name uncultured organism. RNAcentral's name for it is "partial 16S ribosomal RNA". It matches the Rfam family "Bacterial small subunit ribosomal RNA", at positions 526 to 896 of the family's 1533-position model. The record is from RNAcentral.